RNAcentral lists this ribosomal RNA (254 nucleotides) under uncultured bacterium. RNAcentral describes it as "partial 16S ribosomal RNA". It matches the Rfam family "Bacterial small subunit ribosomal RNA", at positions 524 to 776 of the family's 1533-position model. The record is from RNAcentral.
UACGUAGGCAGCGAGCGUUGUUCGGAGUUACUGGGCGUAAAGGGUGUGUAGGCGGUUGUUUAAGUUUGGUGUGAAAUCUCCCGGCUCAACUGGGAGGGUGCGCCGAAUACUGAAUGACUUGGAGUGCGGGAGAGGUGAGUGGAAUUCCUGGUGUAGCGGUGGAAUGCGCAGAUAUCAGGAGGAACACCAAUAGCGAAGGCAGCUCGCUGGGACGUUACUGACACUGAGGCGCGAAAGCGUGGGGAGCGAACAGG